CGUCCGGGGAGGGAGGGGAGGAUGCCUCAAUAAGAGGACGGGGGUCGUGGCGGUGGGAGCCAGACCCUCAGCCAGGAGCAGUGCGACCCAUCUUGGGCUCCAGACCUAACAGGACUGACCUCUCCAAGAACCAGAAAUGUAGACUUAUGGCCAAAGGCUGAAAGGAGAGAUAAAAGACAAAGCCAGGAAUUGAAGGAGAUUAAUUUCCCCCAGCAUACAAUUCCCUCCUCCUGCUCAGAGAAGGGCCUCUGUGAACAGGUCAGCCCUGGCUACGGGCAGACCCGAGAACCCUCUGAGAGGGUUCUGGAACGGUGCCAAAUACCAGACUCUACAAGAUUCUGGAUCUCAAGCUUCUUCUUAAAUACUGGAUGUGUCAGCUAUGUUAAAUACCCGCCCCCAAUCCCCUUGUGUUCACUCCUGUGGGCAGCAGGACUGUAAAGCCAGUAAAGGCAGUAUGUGUUAGUGACCAGAAACCCUGGCCAGGUUACAAAAA
This is a long non-coding RNA of Microcebus murinus (gray mouse lemur), 493 nucleotides long. RefSeq lists it as uncharacterized. Lineage: Eukaryota; Metazoa; Chordata; Mammalia; Primates; Cheirogaleidae. The record is from RefSeq and is a predicted model, not a curated record.